AGAGUUUGAUCCUGGCUCAGGAUUAACGCUGGCGGCGUGCCUAAUACAUGCAAGUCGAACGGAAACCUUCGGGUUUUAGUGGCGAACGGGUGAGUAACACGUAAGCAACCUACCCUAAAGACGAGGAUAACCAUUUGGAAACAGUGGCUAAGACUGGAUAGGAAGAAAUAAGGCAUCUUAUUUCUUUUAAAAGACCUAGUAAUAGGUAUACUUUAGGAGGGGCUUGCGCCAUAUUAGUUAGUUGGUAGGGUAAUGGCCUACCAAGACGAUGAUGUGUAGCUGGACUGAGAGGUUGAACAGCCACAUUGGGACUGAGACACGGCCCAAACUCCUACGGGAGGCAGCAGUAAGGAAUUUUCGGCAAUGGAGGAAACUCUGACCGAGCAACGCCGCGUGAACGACGAAGUACUUUGGUAUGUAAAGUUCUUUUAUCAAGGAAGAAAAGCAAGUGGCGAACCAUUUGUUUGCCGGUACUUGAUGAAUAAGCCCCGGCUAAUUAUGUGCCAGCAGCCGCGGUAAGACAUAAGGGGCAAGUGUUAUCCGGAAUUAUUGGGCGUAAAGGGUGCGUAGGCGGUCUAGUAAGUCAGUGGUGUAAUGGCAACGCUCAACGUUGUCCGGCUAUUGAAACUGCUAAACUUGAGUUAGAUAGAGGCGAGUGGAAUUCCAUGUGUAGCGGUAAAAUGCGUAAAUAUAUGGAGGAACACCAGAGGCGUAGGCGGCUCGCUGGGUCUUAACUGACGCUGAGGCACGAAAGCGUGGGGAGCAAACAGGAUUAGAUACCCUGGUAGUCCA
This 792-nucleotide ribosomal RNA is filed under the name Candidatus Phytoplasma citri. Its description in RNAcentral is "bacterial SSU rRNA". It matches the Rfam family "Bacterial small subunit ribosomal RNA", at positions 8 to 797 of the family's 1533-position model. The record is from RNAcentral. Lineage: Bacteria; Bacillati; Mycoplasmatota; Mollicutes; Acholeplasmatales; Acholeplasmataceae.